Non-coding RNA from Pteropus alecto (black flying fox), 119 nucleotides. The record is from Rfam. NCBI's taxonomy places the organism in Eukaryota, Metazoa, Chordata, Mammalia, Chiroptera, Pteropodidae.
GUCUACGGCCAUGCCACCCUGAACAUGCCCGAUCUCGUCUGAUCUCGGAAGCUAAGCAGGGUCAGGCCUGGUUAGUACUUGGAUGAGAGACCACCUAGAAAUACUGGAUGCUGUAGGCG